Lycium barbarum (goji berry) is the source of this 610-nucleotide long non-coding RNA. RefSeq lists it as uncharacterized. The transcript is spliced from 3 exons. NCBI's taxonomy places the organism in Eukaryota, Viridiplantae, Streptophyta, Magnoliopsida, Solanales, Solanaceae. The record is from RefSeq and is a predicted model, not a curated record.
UUCUUUUAUAUGUUUUGUAGGCUCAAAUCGAAAAAAUGGUUCAAUCGGUGCCAUCUCUAUCUAGCAUAGAGAUUGUCAAAAAAUGUUGUGGACCUCAAACUCGUAGCCAUGUAUUUGGCUUUGGGGGUGGAGUAAAGGCCAAAGACUUGAAAGGUGGCACUUCUUCAAAUGAUGAAUUGCUGUCUGCGCUAGUCCUUGAAUGAGAAAAAUAAAUCCUUGAAUGAUCUCUUGUCUACCUUCGAAGAUGAGAUGAAAGAAAUUAAGAAAAUAAAAGAAUUCUUUGCUUCUCAACAAUCAUAUGUCCCGCCUACGACAUCGCCCGUUUCAACUGGAUGACCACUGCUUUUGUCUGCUGACCAACCUCGAUGAUGUUGCUGGAUAACACCUAAUGAAUUUAUUAUAUUGCUUUUGGGGUUUCGAAGAUUGAAUUUAACAAGUCAAGAUGAAAGUUUAGAAGAUGCACAAGCCCAUUAUUUUGCUAGGAAUGUUAUGCACUCGCUAUCGUAGUCUAACUCGAGUGUUAGUAAAGUUGUUUUGUUAAGGUGUCGAGCAAAUAUUGAAACUAACAUCAUGGGAUGUUAACAAUUUUAUUGUAAUUAACAACUCUAUC